UACGUAGGGGGCAAGCGUUGUCCGGAUUUAUUGGGCGUAAAGAGCGUGUAGGCGGCCAGGUAGGUCAGCUGUGAAAACUCGAGGCUCAACCUCGAGACGCCGGUUGAAACCAUCUGGCUAGAGUCCGGAAGAGGAGAGUGGAAUUCCUGGUGUAGCGGUGAAAUGCGCAGAUAUCAGGAAGAACACCCGUGGCUAAGGCGGCUCUCUGGGACGGUACUGACGCUGAGGCACGAAAGCGUGGGGAGCAAACAGG
Molecule: ribosomal RNA, 253 nt
Filed under: uncultured bacterium
Lineage: Bacteria
Description: partial 16S ribosomal RNA
Rfam family: Bacterial small subunit ribosomal RNA
Source: RNAcentral